GACGCAAGUCUGAUGGAGCAACGCCGCGUGAGUGAAGAAGGUUUUCGGAUCGUAAAGCUCUGUUGUUGGUGAAGAAGGAUAGAGGUAGUAACUGGCCUUUAUUUGACGGUAAUCAACCAGAAAGUCACGGCUAACUACGUGCCAGCAGCCGCGGUAAUACGUAGGUGGCAAGCGUUGUCCGGAUUUAUUGGGCGUAAAGCGAGCGCAGGCGGAAAAAUAAGUCUAAUGUGAAAGCCCUCGGCUUAACCGAGGAAUUGCAUCGGAAACUGUUUUUCUUGAGUGCAGAAGAGGAGAGUGGAACUCCAUGUGUAGCGGUGGAAUGCGUAGAUAUAUGGAAGAACACCAGUGGCGAAGGCGGCUCUCUGGUCUGCAACUGACGCUGAGGCUCGAAAGCAUGGGUAGCGAACAGGAUUAGAUACCCUGGUAGUCCAUGCCGUAAACGAUGAGUGCUAAGUGUUGGGAGGUUUCCGCCUCUCAGUGCUGCAGCUAACGCAUUAAGCACUCCGCCUGGGGAGUACGACCGCAAGGUUGAAACUCAAAGGAAUUGACGGGGGCCCGCACAAGCGGUGGAGCAUGUGGUUUAAUUCGAAGCAACGCGAAGAACCUUACCAGGUCUUGACAUCUAGCGCCAAUCGUAGAGAUACGAUGUUCC
Molecule: ribosomal RNA, 652 nt
Filed under: Lactobacillus sp. oral taxon 461
Lineage: Bacteria; Bacillati; Bacillota; Bacilli; Lactobacillales; Lactobacillaceae
Description: bacterial SSU rRNA
Rfam family: Bacterial small subunit ribosomal RNA
Source: RNAcentral